This 253-nucleotide ribosomal RNA is filed under the name uncultured bacterium. Its description in RNAcentral is "partial 16S ribosomal RNA". It matches the Rfam family "Bacterial small subunit ribosomal RNA", at positions 524 to 776 of the family's 1533-position model. The record is from RNAcentral.
UACGAAGGGUGCAAGCGUUACUCGGAAUUACUGGGCGUAAAGAGCGCGCAGGCGGUCGAUCAAGUCGAGUGUGAAAGCCCCCGGCUCAACUGGGGAGGGUCAUUCGAAACUGAUCGACUUGAAGGCAGGAGAGGGUAGUGGAAUUCCCGGUGUAGUGGUGAAAUGCGUAGAUAUCGGGAGGAACACCAGUGGCGAAGGCGACUACCUGGCCUGUUCUUGACGCUGAGGCGCGAAAGCUAGGGGAGCAAACGGG